CGAAAGUUAGAGGUUCGAAGGCGAUCAGAUACCGCCCUAGUUCUAACCAUAAACGAUGCCAACUAGCGAUCCGCCUGAGUUCCUCAAAUGACUCGGCGGGCAGCUUCCGGGAAACCAAAGUGUUUGGGUUCCGGGGGAAGUAUGGUUGCAAAGCUGAAACUUAAAGGAAUUGACGGAAGGGCACCACCAGGAGUGGAGCCUGCGGCUUAAUUUGACUCAACACGGGAAAACUUACCCGGCCCGGACACUGGAAGGAUUGACAGAUUAAGAGCUCUUUCUUGAUUCAGUGGGUGGUGGUGCAUGGCCGUUCUUAGUUGGUGGAGCGAUUUGUCUGGUUAAUUCCGAUAACGAACGAGACUCUAGCCUACUAAAUAGGCGUUCCGAUCCUUUAUGUCGGACGUUCUUCUUAGAGGGACAAGCGGCUUUUAGCCGCACGAGACAGAGCAAUAACAGGUCUGUGAUGCCCUUAGAUGUCCGGGGCCGCACGCGCGCUACACUGAAGGAAUCAGCGUGUGCUUUCCCUGUCUGUUAGGACUGGGUAACCCGUUAAACCUCCUUCGUGAUAGGGAUAGGGAUUUGUAAUUGUUCCCUUGAACGAGGAAUUCCCAGUAAGCACGAGUCAUAAGCUCGUGUUGAUUACGUCCCUGCCCUUUGUACACACCGCCCGUCGCUACUACCGAUUGAAUGAUUUAGUGAGGUCUUCGGACUGGCGCUCGUAGCGACCUUUGGCCGCGCCGACGUGCCGGAAAGAUGACCAAACUUGAUCAUU
This 769-nucleotide ribosomal RNA is filed under the name Parachtes loboi. RNAcentral's name for it is "SSU rRNA". It matches the Rfam family "Eukaryotic small subunit ribosomal RNA", at positions 984 to 1773 of the family's 1831-position model. RNAcentral also lists the same sequence under 1 other name. Lineage: Eukaryota; Metazoa; Arthropoda; Arachnida; Araneae; Dysderidae. The record is from RNAcentral.